CUGAAGCCCGGCCUGUCCCUCCCCGCUUCCGUGUCAGGACUUCGCCAAAGUGAAAACGAGCCAAGAAGAGCAGUGAGAACAUCUUAGAAAACAGAGAUGUUUAUGAAAUUUAACAGGAAAUGAGGAAAACAAGGCGAUGGUCUACGGAGAGGAAUGUUUCUGAGAAAAAAGACUGGAGAACAACUAAGCACUUUACUCUUAAUCUUCACAACAAUUCUUUAGAUGCAGUUGACGGAAACCCCAGACAAUGGAACUGCGAAUAAGAGGGGAACUACUACUGUACUGGGAUGAAGAUGGGGAGGAAGUAAUUACAUUAUUU
Molecule: non-coding RNA, 319 nt
Organism: Microcebus murinus (gray mouse lemur)
Lineage: Eukaryota; Metazoa; Chordata; Mammalia; Primates; Cheirogaleidae
Source: RefSeq, a predicted model, not a curated record